CAGCAGCCGCGGUAAAACGUAGGUCCCGAGCGUUGUCCGGAUUUAUUGGGCGUAAAGCGUCUGUAGGUGGCUUUUCAAGUCCGCCGUCAAUUCCCAGGGCUCAACCCUGGACAGGCGGUGGAAACUACCAAGCUGGAGUACGGUAGAGGCAGAGGGAAUUUCCGGUGGAGCGGUGGAAUGCGUUGAGAUCGGAAAGAACACCAACGGCGAAAGCACUCUGCUGGGCCGACACUGACACUGAGAGACCAAAGCUAGGGGAGCAAAUGGGAUUAGAUACCCCCGUAGUCCCUGUCUCUUAUAC
RNAcentral lists this ribosomal RNA (301 nucleotides) under uncultured bacterium. RNAcentral describes it as "partial 16S ribosomal RNA". It matches the Rfam family "Bacterial small subunit ribosomal RNA", at positions 509 to 807 of the family's 1533-position model. The record is from RNAcentral.